This 252-nucleotide ribosomal RNA is filed under the name uncultured bacterium. Its description in RNAcentral is "partial 16S ribosomal RNA". It matches the Rfam family "Bacterial small subunit ribosomal RNA", at positions 524 to 776 of the family's 1533-position model. The record is from RNAcentral.
UACGAAGGGGGCUAGCGUUGCUCGGAAUCACUGGGCGUAAAGCGCACGUAGGCGGCUUUUUAAGUCAGGGGUGAAAUCCUGGAGCUCAACUCCAGAACUGCCUUUGAUACUGAGAAGCUUGAGUCCGGGAGAGGUGAGUGGAACUGCGAGUGUAGAGGUGAAAUUCGUAGAUAUUCGCAAGAACACCAGUGGCGAAGGCGGCUCACUGGCCGGUACUGACGCUGAGGUGCGAAAGCGUGGGGAGCAAACAGG